This is an RNA transcript of Sapajus apella (tufted capuchin), 1265 nucleotides long. It is a transcript of the gene named aladin pseudogene, with no coding region annotated. The transcript has a single exon. The record is from RefSeq and is a predicted model, not a curated record. Lineage: Eukaryota; Metazoa; Chordata; Mammalia; Primates; Cebidae.
GAAUUUGCCCAAGUCACAAAUUGGUCUAGCUGCUGCUUGCUUGCGUGUCUUUGCAUGGCACCCUCACACCAAGUUUGCAGUGGCCCUACUAGAUGAUUCAGUCUGUGUGUAUAAUGCCAGCAGCACCAUAGUCCCCUCCCUGAAGCACCGGCUGCAACAAAAUGUGGCAGCUCUGGCCUGGAAGCCCCUCAGUGCCUCUGUCUUGGCUGUGGCUUGCCAGAGCUGCAUUCUCAUCUGGACCCUGGACCCUACCUCCUUGUCUACCCGACCCUCUUCUGGCUGUGCCCAAGUGCUGUCUCACCCUGGGCACACACCUGUCACUAGCUUGGCCUGGGCCCCCAGUAGGGGGCUGCUGCUCUCAGCUUCACCCGUGGAUGCUGCUAUCCAGGUAUGGGAUGUCUCAACAGAGACCUGUGUUCCCCUUCUCUGGUUUAGAGGAGGUGGGGUGACUAACCUGCUCUGGUCCCCAGAUGGCAGCAAAGUCCUGGCUACCACUCCUUCAGCUGUCUUUCGAGUCUGGGAGGCCCAGAUGCGGACUUGCGAGAGGUGGCCUACUCUAUCAGGGCGCUGUCAGACUGGCUGCUGGAGCCCAGAUGGCAACCGAUUGCUGUUCACCAUGUUGGGGGAGCCACUGAUUUACUCCCUGUCUUUUCCAGAAUGUUGUGGUGAGGGAAAGGGGUGUGUUGGAGGUGCGAAGUCAGCAACAAUUGUGGCAGAUCUGUCCAAGACAACAAUCCAGACACCAGAUGGUGAGGAGAGGCUUGGGGGAGAGGCUCACUCCAUGGUCUGGGACCCCAGUGGGGAGUGUCUGGCUGUGGUCAUGAAAGGAAGCCCAAGGGUACAGGGUGGUAAACCAGUCAUCCUCCUCUUCUGUACUCGAAACAGCCCUGUGUUUGAGCUCCUUCCCUGUGGCGUUAUCCAGGGGGAGCCGGGAGCCCAGCCCCAGCUCAUCGCUUUCCAUCCUUCCUUCAACAAAGGGGCCCUGCUCAGUGUGGGCUGGUCCACAGGCCGAAUUGCCCACAUCCCACUGUACUUCGUCAAUGCCCAGUUUCCACGUUUCAGCCCAGUGCUUGGCUGGGCCCAAGAACCCCCUGCUGGGGGUGGAGGCUCUAUUCGUGACCUGCCCCUCUUUACUGAGACAGCCCCAACCUCUGCUCCUUGGGGUCCUCUCCCAGAGCCACUACCUGUUCUGCCCCACUCCCCACAUUCCCACCUCUAAUAAAUUUUCCUUUUGUUUUUCAAAAAAAAAAAAAAAAAAAAAAAAA